Long non-coding RNA from Coturnix japonica (Japanese quail), 1669 nucleotides. NCBI's taxonomy places the organism in Eukaryota, Metazoa, Chordata, Aves, Galliformes, Phasianidae. The record is from Ensembl.
GUUGUUAAGGUCCUGGCAGGUCACAGAACACUGAGGUUGGGUUGUUAAGGUCCUUCAAGGUCAUAGAACAACAGGAUCACAGCAUGUUUGGGUUGUUAAGGUCCUUAAAGAUCACAGCACACUGAGGCUGUGUUGUUAAGGUCCUGGAAGGUCACAGAACCAUUAGACCACAACACGGUUGUGUUGAUAAGGUCCUGGCAGGUCAUAGAACACUGGGGUUGGGUUGAUAAGGUCCUGGCAGGUCACAGAACAGUGAGGUUGGGUUGGAAAGGUCCUUCAAGGUCAAAGAACCACGAGAUCAUGGAAUGGUUGUGUUGGAAAGGUCCUGGCAGGUCACAGGACACUGAGGUUGUGUUGGGAAGGUCCUGGCAGGUCACAGAACCAUGGGAUCAUGGAAUGGUGGGGUUGGAAAGGUCCUUAAAGAUCACAGAACACUGAGGUUGUGUUAUAAAGGUCUUGGCAGGUCACAACACACAGUUGUGCCGUUCAGGUCCUGUCAGGUCACAGCACACAGUUGUGCUGUUCAGGUCCUGGAAGGUCACAGAACCAUUAGAUCACAACAUGGUUGUGCCGUUCAGGUCCUUACAGAUCACAGCAUGGUUGUGUUGUUCAGGUCCUGGCAGGUCACAGGACACUGAGGUUGUGUUGUUAAGGUCCUUAAAGGUCACAGAAUAAUUAGAUCACAACACGGUUGUGUUGAAAGGGUCCUUAAAGAUCAAAGAACCAUGAGAUCAUGGAAUGGUUGGGUUGGGAGGGUCCUGGCAGGUCACAGAAAACUGAGGUUGGGUUGGACAGGUCCUUAAAGGUCACAGAACCAUGGGGUUGUAUUGUUAAGGUCCUUACAGAUCACAACACACAGUUGUGCCCUCCAGGUCCUGUCAGGUCACAACAUGGUUGUGCCGUUCAGGUCCUUACAGGUCACAGAACACAGAGGUUGUGCUGGAAAGGUCCUGAAAGGACAUAGAGAACAAUGGAAACAUGGGGUGGGGGGUUGGAAAGGUCCUUAAAGGGCAUAGAACAACAGGAACAUGGAAUGGGGGGGUUGGGAGGGUCCUGGCAGGUCAGAGAACACUGAGGUUGUGCUGGAAAGGUCCUGAAAGAUCAUGGAACACUGAGGUUGGGUUGGAAAGGUCCUUAAAGGUCACAGAACACUGGGGUUGUGUUGUUCAGGUCCUGGCAGGUCACAGAACCAUUAGAUCACAACAUGGUUGUGCCGUUCAGGUCCUUACAGAUCACAGCACACAGCUGUACCAUCCAGGUCCUGGCAGGUCACAACACACAGUUGUGCUGUCAGGUCCUGUCAGGUCACAGCACACAGUUGUGCCAUUCAGGUCCUGGCAGGUCACAGAACCAUUAGAUCACAACAUGGUUGUGCUGUUCAGGUCCUGUCAGAUCACAGCACACAGCUGUACCAUCCAGGUCCUGUCAGGUCACAACACACAGCUGUACCAUCCAGGUCCUUACAGAUCACAGCACACAGCUGUCCCAUCCAGGUCCUGUCAGAUCACAGCACACAGCUGUACCAUCCAGGUCCUGUCAGAUCACAGCACACAGUUGUACCAUCCAGGUCCUUACAGGUCACAACACACAGCUGUGCCAUCCAGGUCCUUACAGAUCACAACACACAGCUGUGCCAUCCAGGUCCUGGCAGGUCACAACACACAGCUGU